This 426-nucleotide ribosomal RNA is filed under the name uncultured bacterium. RNAcentral's name for it is "bacterial SSU rRNA". It matches the Rfam family "Bacterial small subunit ribosomal RNA", at positions 356 to 774 of the family's 1533-position model. The record is from RNAcentral.
UAAGAAUAUUCCGCAAUGGACGAAAGUCUGACGGAGCGACGCCGCGUGGAUGAAGAAGGCCGAAAGGUUGUAAAGUUCUUUUGUUGGGGAAGAAUAACCAUGGGAGGGAAUGUCCGUGGGAUGACAUGCACCGACGAAUAAGCCCCGGCUAACUACGUGCCAGCAGCCGCGGUAACACGUAGGGGGCAAGCGUUGUUCGGAAUUACUGGGCGUAAAGGGCAUGUAGGCGGCCUUGUAAGCUUGGCGUGAAAGUCCACGGCUUAACCGUGGGAUUGCGUUGAGGACUGCGAGGCUUGAGUGACGGAGAGGGAGCUAGAAUUCCUGGUGUAGGGGUGGAAUCUGUAGAUAUCACUAGGAAUAUCAAAAGCGAAGGCGAUCUGCUGGGAUGAUACUGACGCUGAGGCACGAAAGCGUGGGGAGCAAACA